RNAcentral lists this ribosomal RNA (301 nucleotides) under uncultured bacterium. RNAcentral's name for it is "partial 16S ribosomal RNA". It matches the Rfam family "Bacterial small subunit ribosomal RNA", at positions 509 to 807 of the family's 1533-position model. The record is from RNAcentral.
CAGUCGCCACGGUAAUACAGAGGGUGCGAGCGUUAAUCGGAUUUACUGGGCGUAAAGCGUGCGUAGGCGGCUUCUUAAGUCGGAUGUGAAAUCCCUGAGCUUAACUUAGGAAUUGCAUUCGAUACUGGGAAGCUAGAGUAUGGGAGAGGAUGGUAGAAUUCCAGGUGUAGCAGUGAAAUGCGUAGAGAUCGGAAGGAACAUCUGUGGCGAAGGCGACUAUCUGGGCCAACACUGACACUGAGGCACGAAAGCGUGGGGAGCAAACAGGAUUAGAUACCCGUGUAGUCCCUGUCUCUUAUAC